UGUGCGUCAGUUUCUUCAAGAGCAUUAAGGAUUCCGUAAUGCUUUUGUGGACCUGAAAAUUUAUUCCAAUUUAUUUUACACUUCUAUUUAAUAUGUUUGUCAUCUGUAAAUAACGUUCAAAGCACACAGCAUUUUCAGCUCGGUAUUUAUGUCGGAAUACGAUUGGUCAGGCUUUGAAAUAAAGAGUUAGCAGUACAAAGGAUGCUUUUCUGGGCUGCAUAAAGGAAUAGAGUUCAAGAUUGAUUGUCGAACAUUCCAAGUUGGUUGUGCUAUUCCUACAUAUUUGCAAGAGUUCAUUUGUUGUCAAAGAGACCAUAGAGAAAAAAUUCUUCAAAAGAGGGCUUGUGUGAAUGAGAUUCAGAUGGAUAAAAGGGUAUACUAACAAGUAAAAAGAGGAGGAAGCGAUAUCUACUCGGUGUGGUGAAAUAUAUGGGUGGAGACUCGGUAGCAAGGGAAUGGAGUCUUGGCACAAGUGGUCGUGGAGCUCGGAUAUUCCGGUCAAAAGCCCUGACACAAACAAAGCCUGCAAAAAGAAUGCUGUAGUGCAGCACUCUUGAUUAGAUAGAGGAUUCUCUGAUGUUAUAGAGCUACAAUGUUCAUCAUCUCCUGUGGAUUCCGAUGCUUCACCUGAAAUUGAAUCAACAAUCAGUUAGCCAUUUUGGAAAAUCUACAGUUU
This is a long non-coding RNA of Cryptomeria japonica (Japanese cedar), 676 nucleotides long. RefSeq lists it as uncharacterized. The transcript is spliced from 6 exons. The record is from RefSeq and is a predicted model, not a curated record. NCBI's taxonomy places the organism in Eukaryota, Viridiplantae, Streptophyta, Pinopsida, Cupressales, Cupressaceae.